AUUAAACGCUGGCGGCAUGCCUUACACAUGCAAGUCGAACGGCAGCACGGGGGCAACCCUGGUGGCGAGUGGCGGACGGGUGAGUAAAGCAUCGGAACGUAUCCUGGAGUGGGGGAUAACGUAGCGAAAGUUACGCUAAUACCGCAUAUUCUGUGAGCAGGAAAGCAGGGGAUCGCAAGACCUUGCGCUCUGGGAGCGGCCGAUGUCGGAUUAGCUAGUUGGUGGGGUAAAGGCCUACCAAGGCGACGAUCCGUAGCGGGUCUGAGAGGAUGAUCCGCCACACUGGGACUGAGACACGGCCCAGACUCCUACGGGAGGCAGCAGUGGGGAAUUUUGGACAAUGGGCGCAAGCCUGAUCCAGCCAUGCCGCGUGAGUGAAGAAGGCCUUCGGUU
Molecule: ribosomal RNA, 393 nt
Filed under: uncultured bacterium
Lineage: Bacteria
Description: bacterial SSU rRNA
Rfam family: Bacterial small subunit ribosomal RNA
Source: RNAcentral